RNAcentral lists this transfer RNA (75 nucleotides) under Bacteroidetes bacterium QS_8_64_10. RNAcentral's name for it is "tRNA-Glu". It matches the Rfam family "tRNA". From Rfam's summary of the family: Transfer RNA (tRNA) molecules are approximately 80 nucleotides in length. Their secondary structure includes four short double-helical elements and three loops (D, anti-codon, and T loops). Lineage: Bacteria; Pseudomonadati; Bacteroidota. The record is from RNAcentral.
GCCGCGUUCGUCUAGCUUGGUCUAGGACGCCGGGUUCUCAGUCCGGUAACACGGGUUCAAAUCCCGUACGCGGUA